AAAUGACUCUCGGCAACGGAUAUCCCGGCUCUCGCAUCGAUGAAGAACGUAGCGAAAUGCGACACUUGGUGUGAAUUGCAGAAUCCCGUGAACCAUCGAGUCUUUGAACGCAAGUUGCGCCCGAAGCCAUUAGGCCGAGGGCACGUCUGCCUGGGUGUCACGC
RNAcentral lists this ribosomal RNA (163 nucleotides) under Laserpitium gallicum subsp. orospedanum. Its description in RNAcentral is "5.8S ribosomal RNA". It matches the Rfam family "5.8S ribosomal RNA". Rfam says of the family: 5.8S ribosomal RNA (5.8S rRNA) is a component of the large subunit of the eukaryotic ribosome. Lineage: Eukaryota; Viridiplantae; Streptophyta; Magnoliopsida; Apiales; Apiaceae. The record is from RNAcentral.